GCAAGUCGAACGGUAACAGGAAAGAGCUUGCUUUUUUGCUGACGAGUGGCGCACGGGUGCGUAACGCGUAUACAAUCUACCUUUUACAGGGGGAUAGCCUUUAGAAAUGAAGAAUAAUACCCCAUAGUAAGUCAUUAUGGCAUCAUAGUGAUUUUAAAGUUUCGGCGGUAAAAGAUGAGUAUGCGUUCUAUUAGCUAGAUGGUGUGGUAACGGCACACCAUGGCUACGAUAGAUAGGGGCCCUGAGAGGAUAGUC
Molecule: ribosomal RNA, 255 nt
Filed under: uncultured bacterium
Lineage: Bacteria
Description: partial 16S ribosomal RNA
Rfam family: Bacterial small subunit ribosomal RNA
Source: RNAcentral